GAAGAGCUGACCCUCCUUGUAUAUCAAAGCCUUGUUUAUAAUUUUAUCUUUUUUUUUUUUUUGGGAGGGGGGGGUCAUAUUUUCUUUGAGUUUGACUUUUGUUUCAGUUCCUAGAUUCUAUAAAAUGUGAUGAAAAUAAAAAUGUCAUUUACAAUAAGAUUUCAAUUGUAAUUAUGUUUUUAUUAAAAAAAAAAGUUUUAAAUUAAAAAAAAUAUUCAAUGCUUAUGAAACUUUUGACCUUUGAUGAAUUUAAAAUGCCACAAAAUUUUGUGCUUUGGACUUAAUUUGUCCAUUUAUUAAAUGUUUCAACAUUCACUCCAAAAGACUUUUCAGUUCUUGAACAGAUAUUGUGUUGGAGGGUCACUAGUAGAUAUUUAGUUGUUACAAAUCCUUUUUGGUGUAAGCUUUGAUAUUUUAAGAAUAAUUCAUUUUUUAUACAGUAACUUAAAUUUUUUUUAGUUAUUUUCUAGAUAAAUGAGUUAUCAUUUCAUUUUCUGAGUGAUGAACUUAUUUGUUCUCUCCUGCAAUAUCAUUGGUUGUUCUGAACACUUCAGCGGCCAUCAAAUUUGAUUUGGGCAGUAGACUGACUGCAGAUAUGUCUUAUCAAUGGUUUGUUACUUUGAGGCUUCAAAUAAUGUCAGUGAACAUUGUUCCAGUGUUUAGUAUUUAGUGUACAGGGGCCACAAUGGACCACUCACUGUAAGUAGUCCAUUACAUCUGACAUAUAGUAUGCUCUUCUCUAAUUACUAUGUAUAUUCUAUCAACCUUUUGAGUUGUAUUAACUGUAUCUUUAUCGUGGGGUUUAAUAAAAUGCAUUCUGGGUUGGAUUGUUUUCACACCACACAGCAGCUCUUUAUUUUGUUGAACAUAAUUUCAUGCCAGGGAGAUUUGUAAGCACACUUUAGCCAUCCAGAAGUAUGCUGAUGGUUAAACCCAGGUUCCUCAUCCUGUGAACUAGGUUUCAUAAUGUAUAUUGUUCUUGGUAGAUCAACUGAAUUUCUCAUUUUGACAUGGAUGGAUUUUUUCUAACAUUUUGUACCAGGUAUUUGGCUGUUAAAGCUGACAUUCUGGGAGCAGGAUUUCAUUCAAACAUCAGGCACCAUUCUCAUGUUUUGUGCUCAAUGUAUAAAGCCCACAAGUCAUGUUCUUUUUAAUUGAUCAGUACUCUAUUUAUGAAAGUAUAAUUCUGUUUGACAGUUCCUAGUGCUUUCAAUUGACACCAUCUCUUUGUUUCGCUUGCUAGAGGUGUGUUUUCAACACCAUCUUUAAUUUAGCUAUAGAGGUUUGUUCUCUCUCACAACACUUCCUUGUUUGUGUCUCUAGAGGUGUGUCCUCACACCAUUUCCUUGUAUAUGUCUCUAGAGGUGUGUCAUCACACCAAAUAUCCUUGUAUGUGUCUCUAAACAUGUGUCCUCACACCAUUUCCUUGUUUGUGUCUCUAGAGGUGUGUCCUCACACCAUUUCAUUGUUUGUGUCUCUAGAGGUGUGUCCUCACACCAUUUCCUUGUUUGUGUCUCUAGAGGUGUGUCCUCACACCAUUUCCUUGUUUGUGUCUCUAGAAAUGUGUCCUCACACCAUUUCCUUGUUUGUGUCUUCAUAGGUGUGUCCUCACACCAUUUCCUUGUUUGUGUCUUCAGAGGUGUGUCCUCAUUUGUUUUUAUAAGUAGCUUUUUUGCUGCAGUUAAGAGUUGGACAAACCAUUGAAGCUUUAUUGUUUUCUUUUACAGAAUGUUUUGAUUCUUUUUCAAAAUGUAAGGAAAUAUUUUAGACACAUUUUUUAAAAAUUCUGUAAGAACAAACAAGUCAAAUCUAUGUCUAUCACUUGGUCUUAAGUGAAGGGCAAUGUCUAUCACUUGGUCUAAUAUUUUAUUUACGGGUACAUCAGUAAAAGAUGUGAAUUGUGUUGUCACUGAAUGAAGAGCCCCUCUCUGUUCUGUUUCUUGCUGCCAGUCUGUUCAUAUUGACAUCAACUUUUGUGUCCAACUUUUCUUUCAUACAUCAGAAAUAUUGUCAGAUUUUUUAGUUUUUUUUCAUGCAAAAAAUAAUAAAAUAAAAAGUUAAGUGCCUCUUUGUUAUUUUUUUUUUUUUUGCUGUAAAGAUAUCAACUUUUCUAAGUCAUUAAAAAAAUUGAUCUUCUUGUUUAUACAUUUGAUUUAUUGAUAUAUGUCACAUUUGUAUCAUUAAAAUGUUACAUUUAAAAAAAAAUAUUCUGUAUGCCACUUCAGACAUGUCCAAUAAGAACUCAGCUUUAAAAAUUAUAUUUUUAAUCCUUUCUACACUGUUAAAGGAAUUUAUUUAUUUUGUGUGAAAGCCACAAUAACAUUUCAAACCUCUGAUCCUUUUUGUGUUGUAAUUUUGUUUUGGUGAAUUUUUCUAAAGCUCAAUUAAUAGAGUUGCAUAGUUUAGUCAAUAUAUUUAGAUGACAUUGUUAAUGACAUAUUAAUAUUUUCACACAAAAAAAGCACUCCAGAAAUAUUUGAAGUAAGACUAUUUCAUUCCAUGUAACAUGAACAUUGAUGAGUCAGUGACUAGUGGUGUUGCUAACUCUAGAACAGUAGCAAGAGAAGGAUCUCACAUUUCUUGCCUCUUUUCAAAACAUACUGCUACCUAAAGAAACAUUUUCCAAUGAAACCACUCUCUCUUCAAAUGUUUCUAGUACUAUCCUCUUUGUAUCACUACAUGUCCUUAAGUCAAUGUUCAUCUUGCCAUUCAUGUCAUACUGUAAUCGUGUUUGUAAGUCCACCACCAGUUAAGUUGAAGUGACCAUCUGAUCAAUGAUAGUUUACUUUUCAUAAUAUAUAUAUAUAUAUAUAUAUAGCAUUGAUAUUGUGAUAGCCAUAAUCUGAGAACAGGGUUAGUUAUGAAAAUAGUUUUCAAGGGCAUUUCUGUGUCUUAUGAUUGACUGAACACCAAGUCAAAAGUUUUGCUUUUAGUGUGACACAGUAUCAUUCCAACUCUUGGCCAGUGAAACCACUCUGAUCCCUGGAGUCAGCACAAGGGCAAUAACUCAGUCAUGUGUUAAAGCAUUACUAUUUCCUUGUCCACUGUCCUAGUGUAAGUACAUGUUUAUUGGAUGUCUCCAUUAUAUACAAUUCAUGUCUGACUUGAACUACACAGUGAAUGAUAAAAUAUUUGCAAAUGUUUAUAGUGUGACAAUUUUCUUAUUAAAAAUUUCUAUGGGGACAAACUUA
Biomphalaria glabrata is the source of this 3191-nucleotide long non-coding RNA. RefSeq lists it as uncharacterized. The transcript is spliced from 2 exons. The record is from RefSeq and is a predicted model, not a curated record. NCBI's taxonomy places the organism in Eukaryota, Metazoa, Mollusca, Gastropoda, Planorbidae.